Molecule: ribosomal RNA, 510 nt
Filed under: uncultured Diversispora
Lineage: Eukaryota; Fungi; Glomeromycota; Glomeromycetes; Diversisporales; Diversisporaceae
Description: SSU rRNA
Rfam family: Eukaryotic small subunit ribosomal RNA
Source: RNAcentral
AGCAGCCGCGGUAAUUCCAGCUCCAAUAGCGUAUAUUAAAGUUGUUGCAGUUAAAAAGCUCGUAGUUGAACUUCGGGGUUUACCCAUUGGUCAGGCUUAAUUGUCUGUACUGGUGAGAUAAAUCUCUACCUUCUGAGGAACUUUCAUGUCAUUAAUUUGGUGUGAUUGGAAAUCAGGACUGUUACUUUGAAAAAAUUAGAGUGUUUAAAGCAGGCUAACGUCUGAAUACAUUAGCAUGGAAUAAUGAAAUAGGACGGACUGAUUCUAUUUCGUUGGUUUCUAGGAUCACCGUAAUGAUUAAUAGGGAUAGUUGGGGGCAUUAGUAUUCAAUUGUCAGAGGUGAAAUUCUUGGAUUUAUUGAAGACUAACUACUGCGAAAGCAUUUGCCAAGGAUGUUUUCAUUAAUCAAGAACGAAAGUUAGGGGAUCGAAGACGAUCAGAUACCGUCGUAGUCUUAACCAUAAACUAUGCCGACUAGGGAUCGGACGAAGUUAAUUUUAUAAUGACGCG